This 267-nucleotide ribosomal RNA is filed under the name Triticum aestivum (bread wheat). RNAcentral's name for it is "partial small subunit ribosomal RNA". Lineage: Eukaryota; Viridiplantae; Streptophyta; Magnoliopsida; Poales; Poaceae. The record is from RNAcentral.
AACAACCUUAAAAUUCUCUUUCGGAAUGUCCGCGGUCUAAAUUUCGGUGCUAAGCGUAUGGCUGUCCGCAGCGUGAUCUUCGCUGCCGCCCCUACCAUCGUGUGUCUACAAGAGACCAAGCUCACUCACAUCUCGGACUCCACCGUCCUUGACACUCUCGGCCUCCUAUUCGAGGAUUUCUACUUCCUCCCGGCCACCGGCACUCGCGAAGGCGUGCUCCUCGCGUCGCAUGGCGUAGAUCCCAUGUCUCCCCCUCAAACCCACUGA